AGCAGUCGCCGCGGUAACACGUAGGGUGCAAGCGUUAAUCGGAAUUACUGGGCGUAAAGCGUGCGCAGGCGGUUAUAUAAGACAGAUGUGAAAUCCCCGGGCUCAACCUGGGAACUGCAUUUGUGACUGUAUAGCUAGAGUACGGCAGAGGGGGAUGGAAUUCCGCGUGUAGCAGUGAAAUGCGUAGAUAUGCGGAGGAACACCGAUGGCGAAGGCAAUCCCCUGGGCCUGUACUGACGCUCAUGCACGAAAGCGUGGGGAGCAAACAGGAUUAGAUACCCCCGUAGUCCCUGUCUCUUAUAC
This 303-nucleotide ribosomal RNA is filed under the name uncultured bacterium. Its description in RNAcentral is "partial 16S ribosomal RNA". It matches the Rfam family "Bacterial small subunit ribosomal RNA", at positions 507 to 807 of the family's 1533-position model. The record is from RNAcentral.